UACGGAAUGUGCAACCGUUAUUCGGAAUCACUGGGCUUAAAGAGUCCGUAGGCGGCAUGUUAGGUGAGGUGUGAAAUCCCCCGGCUCAACCGAGGAAUUGCGCUUCAAACCGGCGUGCUAGAGGAAGAUAGAGGUGGGCGGAACUGAUGGUGGAGCGGUGAAAUGCGUUGAUAUCAUCAGGAACACCGGAGGCGAAGGCGGCCCACUGGGUCUUUUCUGACGCUGAGGGACGAAAGCUAGGGGAGCGAACGGG
Molecule: ribosomal RNA, 253 nt
Filed under: uncultured bacterium
Lineage: Bacteria
Description: partial 16S ribosomal RNA
Rfam family: Bacterial small subunit ribosomal RNA
Source: RNAcentral